UACGUAGGGAGCAAGCGUUGUUCGGAUUUACUGGGCGUAAAGGGCGCGUAGGCGGCGCGACAAGUCACUUGUGAAAUCUCCGGGCUUAACUCGGAACGGUCAAGUGAAACUGUCAUGCUAGAGUGCAGAAGGGGCAAUCGGAAUUCUUGGUGUAGCGGUGAAAUGUGUAGAGAUCCGGAGGAACACCAGUGGUGCAGACGGCGCCCUGGGUCCGAACUGACGCUGAAGCACGAAAGCGUGGGGAGCGAACGGG
Molecule: ribosomal RNA, 253 nt
Filed under: uncultured bacterium
Lineage: Bacteria
Description: partial 16S ribosomal RNA
Rfam family: Bacterial small subunit ribosomal RNA
Source: RNAcentral